Molecule: ribosomal RNA, 506 nt
Filed under: uncultured bacterium
Lineage: Bacteria
Description: bacterial SSU rRNA
Rfam family: Bacterial small subunit ribosomal RNA
Source: RNAcentral
ACUGAUUAGACGGAAGUUGGAGUGCUUGCACAAAGACGGAAAUCUAUGACGUGGAUCUCCACCUAGUGGCGCAAGGGUGAGUAACACGUGGGUAAUCUGCCUUCGAGUCUGGAAUAACAGUUAGAAAUGAUUGCUAAUGCCGGAUGAUAUGGAGAACGAUACGUCAUUCUUUAUUAAAAGGGGCCUUUAAAGCCUCGCUUGAAGAUGAGCCUGCGCCGUAUUAGCUAGUUGGUGGGGUAAUGGCCUACCAAGGCAACGAUGCGUAGCCGACCUGAGAGGGUGAUCGGCCACACUGGGACUGAGACACGGCCCAGACUCCUACGGGAGACAGCAGUUAGGAAUAUUCGUCAAUGGGGGAAACCCUGAACGAGCAAUGCCGCGUGAAGGAUGACGGUCCUAUGGAUUGUAAACUUCUGUCGUUAGGGAAGAACGUUCUGUAUAGGAAAUGAUACAGGAGUGACGGUACCUUUCAAGAAAGCUCCGGCUAACUACGUGCCAGCAGCCGC